Molecule: ribosomal RNA, 465 nt
Filed under: uncultured bacterium
Lineage: Bacteria
Description: partial 16S ribosomal RNA
Rfam family: Bacterial small subunit ribosomal RNA
Source: RNAcentral
GACGAACGCUGGCGGCGUGCUUAACACAUGCAAGUCGAACGGAAAGGCCCUGCUUGCAGGGUACUCGAGUGGCGAACGGGUGAGUAACACGUGGGCGAUCUGUCCUGCACUUCGGGAUAAGCCUGGGAAACUGGGUCUAAUACCGGAUAGGAGCCAUUUUUAGUGUGAUGGUUGGAAAGUUUUUUCGGUGUAGGAUGAGCUCGCGGCCUAUCAGCUUGUUGGUGGGGUAAUGGCCUACCAAGGCGGCGACGGGUAGCCGGCCUGAGAGGGUGGACGGCCACAUUGGGACUGAGAUACGGCCCAGACUCCUACGGGAGGCAGCAGUGGGGAAUAUUGCACAAUGGGCGCAAGCCUGAUGCAGCGACGCCGCGUGGGGGAUGACGGCCUUCGGGUUGUAAACUCCUUUCGCUAGGGACGAAGCUUUUUGUGACGGUACCUAGAUAAGAAGCACCGGCUAACUACGUG